Molecule: ribosomal RNA, 490 nt
Filed under: Alteromonas sp. 9PC-1
Lineage: Bacteria; Pseudomonadati; Pseudomonadota; Gammaproteobacteria; Alteromonadales; Alteromonadaceae
Description: bacterial SSU rRNA
Rfam family: Bacterial small subunit ribosomal RNA
Source: RNAcentral
ACAUGCAGUCGAACGGUAACAUGACGUGCUUGCACAUCGAUGACGAGUGGCGGACGGGUGAGUAAUGCUUGGGAACUUGCCUUUGCGAGGGGGAUAACAGUUGGAAACGACUGCUAAUACCGCAUAAUGUCUUCGGACCAAACGGGGCUUCGGCUCCGGCGCAAAGAGAGGCCCAAGUGAGAUUAGCUAGUUGGUAAGGUAACGGCUUACCAAGGCGACGAUCUCUAGCUGUUCUGAGAGGAAGAUCAGCCACACUGGGACUGAGACACGGCCCAGACUCCUACGGGAGGCAGCAGUGGGGAAUAUUGCACAAUGGGGGAAACCCUGAUGCAGCCAUGCCGCGUGUGUGAAGAAGGCCUUCGGGUUGUAAAGCACUUUCAGUUGUGAGGAAAAGUUAGUAGUUAAUACCUGCUACCCGUGACGUUAACAGCGGAAGAAGCACCGGCUAAAUCCGUGCCAGCAGCCGCGGUAAUACGGAGGGUGCGAGCGU